GCAAGAAAAGCGUGGGUAUCGAAACAGGAUUAGAUACCCUGGUAGUCCACGCGGUAAACGAUGAUAACUAGUUAUCCGGCGCGAUUGGGUGCUGGGUGACCGAGCGAAAGCGUUAAGUUAUCCACCUGGGGAGUACGCCGGCAACGGUGAAACUCAAAGGAAUUGACGGGGGCCCGCACAAGCGGAGGAACAUGUGGUUUAAUUCGAUGAUACGCGAGGAACCUUACCCGGGCUCAAACGCAUGGCGCUACACCCUGAAAGGGGUGGUUCUUCGGACGUCAUGCGAGGUGCUGCAUGGUUGUCGUCAGCUCGUGCCGUGAGGUGUCGGCUUAAGUGCCAUAACGAGCGCAACCCCCAUCUUCAGUUGCCAUCGGGUUAUGCCGGGCACUCUGGAGAGACUGCCGGCGCAAGCUGUGAGGAAGGCGGGGAUGACGUCAAAUCAGCACGGCCCUUACGUCCGGGGCGACACACGUGUUACAAUGGCGGGGUCACAGAGGGAAGCCAGGCGGCGACGCCGAGCGGAUCCCGAAAACCCGUCUCAGUUCGGAUCGGAGUCUGCAACCCGACUCCGUGAAGCUGGAUUCGCUAGUAAUCGCGCAU
Molecule: ribosomal RNA, 600 nt
Filed under: uncultured bacterium
Lineage: Bacteria
Description: bacterial SSU rRNA
Rfam family: Bacterial small subunit ribosomal RNA
Source: RNAcentral